This 78-nucleotide small RNA is filed under the name Christiangramia gaetbulicola. Its description in RNAcentral is "Gramella gaetbulicola Flavo-1 RNA". Lineage: Bacteria; Pseudomonadati; Bacteroidota; Flavobacteriia; Flavobacteriales; Flavobacteriaceae. The record is from RNAcentral.
AUUGCGCAAGGGAUAGCAGCGGUUAGCUCCCGUUCGCGAAAAAGCGAGCGGGACUAAAAGCGUAUAGCCCGACCCGUU